CAAUAGCGUAUAUUAAAGUUGUUGCAGUUAAAAAGCUCGUAGUUGGAUUUGUGGCGUACGGUGUGUUCCGGGCACUUGUUGUCUGAGUAACCUGCUGUUGCCAUCCUUGGGUGGAACCUGUGUGGCAUUAGGUUGUCGUGCAGGGGAUACCCAUCAUUUACUGUGAAAAAAUUAGAGUGUUCAAAGCAGGCUUAUGCCGUUGAAUAUAUUAGCAUGGAAUAAUGAGAUAGGACUUUUUUGCUAUUUUGUUGGUUUGCGCAAGAAGGUAAUGAUUAAUAGGGACAGUUGGGGGUAUUCGUAUUCCAUUGUCAGAGGUGAAAUUCUUGGAUUUUUGGAAGACGAACUACUGCGAAAGCAUUUACCAAGGAUGUUUUCAUUAA
Molecule: ribosomal RNA, 380 nt
Filed under: uncultured eukaryote
Lineage: Eukaryota
Description: partial 18S ribosomal RNA
Rfam family: Eukaryotic small subunit ribosomal RNA
Source: RNAcentral